Molecule: unclassified non-coding RNA, 26 nt
Filed under: Dictyostelium discoideum
Lineage: Eukaryota; Evosea; Eumycetozoa; Dictyosteliales; Dictyosteliaceae
Source: RNAcentral
CUGAAAGAUGGACUUUUAAUCCAUUU